AAACCAUGGUGUGGACACUUUCUCAACAGUUCCUUAUAUCUCUCACAUGCUUCAUAAAGUGAUUCAUUUUCUUCCUAGAGAAAUGAUAAUUUCUCAUCUUUGCAGAUU
Molecule: small nucleolar RNA, 108 nt
Organism: Pistacia vera
Lineage: Eukaryota; Viridiplantae; Streptophyta; Magnoliopsida; Sapindales; Anacardiaceae
Source: RefSeq, a predicted model, not a curated record